AGCGCACACGGUGGAUGCCUUGGCGGUCAGAGGCGAUGAAGGACGUGGCAGCCUGCGAAAAGUAUCGGGGAGCUGGCAACAAGCUUUGAUCCGGUAAUGUCCGAAUGGGGAAACCCACCCGCUUGCGGGUAUCCUGCAGUGAAUACAUAGCUGCUGGAAGCGAACCUGGUGAACUGAAAUAUCUAAGUAACCAGAGGAAAAGAAAUCAACCGAGAUUCCGUAAGUAGCGACGAGCGAACGCGGACUAGCCCUUAAGCUGAUUUGGUUCUAGGAAAACGCUCUGGAAAGAGCGGCCAUAGAAGGUGAUAGCCCUGUAUCUGAAAGGGCCAUUUCAGUGAAGACGAGUAGGGCGGGGCACGUGAAACCCUGUCUGAACAUGGGGGGACCAUCCUCCAAGGCUAAAUACUACUGACCGACCGAUAGUGAACCAGUACCGUGAGGGAAAGGCGAAAAGAACCCCGGAGAGGGGAGUGAAAUAGAACCUGAAACCGUGUGCGUACAAGCAGUAGGAGCUCCGCAAGGAGUGACUGCGUACCUUUUGUAUAAUGGGUCAGCGACUUACUGUUCGUGGCAAGCUUAACCGUAUAGGGGAGGCGAAGGGAAACCGAGUCUGAUAAGGGCGCAUAGUCGCGGGCAGUAGACCCGAAACCGGGUGAUCUAGUCAUGCCCAGGGUGAAGGUGCGGUAACACGCACUGGAGGCCCGAACCCACUCCCGUUGCAAAGGUAGGGGAUGAGGUGUGAUUAGGAGUGAAAAGCUAAUCGAACCCGGAGAUAGCUGGUUCUCCUCGAAAGCUAUUUAGGUAGCGCCUCAUAUGUAUCCUCUCGGGGGUAGAGCACUGUUAUGGCUAGGGGGUCAUCGCGACUUACCAAACCAUUGCAAACUCCGAAUACCGAGACGGACUGUAUGGGAGACACACGGCGGGUGCUAACGUCCGUCGUGAAAAGGGAAACAACCCAGACCCACAGCUAAGGUCCCAAAUUUUGUGCUAAGUGGAAAACCAUGUGGAAAGGCACAGACAGCCAGGAGGUUGGCUUAGAAGCAGCCACCCUUUAAAGAAAGCGUAAUAGCUCACUGGUCGAGUCGGUCUGCGGGGAAGAUUUAACGGGGCUAAGCACAGAACCGAAGCUUGGGGUGCAUACUUUGUAUGCGCGGUAGAGGAGCGUUCCGUAAGCCGUUGAAGGUGGAUUGAGAAGUCUGCUGGAGGUAUCGGAAGUGCGAAUGCUGACAUGAGUAACGAUAAUGCGGGUGAAAAACCCGCACGCCGAAAGCCCAAGGUUUCCUUGCGCAACGUUAAUCGGCGCAGGGUGAGUCGGCCCCUAAGGCGAGGACGAAAGUCGUAGUCGAUGGGAAGCAGGUUAAUAUUCCUGCACCUCGCGUAAGUGCGAUGGAGGGACGGAGAAGGUUAGGUGUACCAGGCGUUGGUUGUCCUGGGGAAAGGCGGUAGGUUUGGAUCUUUGGCAAAUCCGGGAUCCUUUAAGACCGAGCACCGAGACGAGCCUUUAUGGCGAAGUCACUGAUACCACGCUUCCAGGAAAAGCUCCUAAGCUUCAGCUUACGCAGACCGUACCGUAAACCGACACAGGUGGGUAGGAUGAGAAUUCUCAGGCGCUUGAGAGAACUCGGGUGAAGGAACUAGGCAACAUGGCACCGUAACUUCGGGAGAAGGUGCACCCUUUUUGGUGGCUCGUGCGAGCUAUAGCUGAAGAGGGUCGCAGUAACCAGGCCGCUGCGACUGUUUAUCAAAAACACAGCACUCUGCAAACACGAAAGUGGACGUAUAGGGUGUGACGCCUGCCCGGUGCUGGAAGGUUAAUUGAUGGGGUCAGCCGCAAGGCGAAGCUCUUGAUCGAAGCCCCAGUAAACGGCGGCCGUAACUAUAACGGUCCUAAGGUAGCGAAAUUCCUUGUCGGGUAAGUUCCGACCUGCACGAAUGGCGUAACGACAGCGGCGCUGUCUCCACCCGAGACUCAGUGAAAUUGAAAUCGCUGUGAAGAUGCAGCGUUCCCGUGGCAAGACGGAAAGACCCCGUGAACCUUUACUAUAGCUUUACACUGAACGUUGAGUUCGUCUGUGUAGGAUAGGUGGGAGGCUAUGAAACCAUGGCGCUAGCUGUGGCGGAGCCAUCCUUGAAAUACCACCCUGUCGUGCUUGACGUUCUAACCUGGGCCCAUUAUCUGGGUCGGGGACCGUGUAUGGUGGGUAGUUUGACUGGGGCGGUCUCCUCCUAAAGAGUAACGGAGGAGCUCGAAGGUACGCUCAGCGCGGUCGGACAUCGCGCACUGUGUGCAAAGGCAUAAGCGUGCUUGACUGCAAGAUCGACGGAUCAAGCAGGUAGGAAACUAGGACUUAGUGAUCCGGUGGUUCUGUAUGGAAGGGCCAUCGCUCAACGGAUAAAAGGUACUCCGGGGAUAACAGGCUGAUACCGCCCAAGAGUUCAUAUCGACGGCGGUGUUUGGCACCUCGAUGUCGGCUCAUCACAUCCUGGGGCUGUAGUCGGUCCCAAGGGUAUGGCUGUUCGCCAUUUAAAGUGGUACGCGAGCUGGGUUCAGAACGUCGUGAGACAGUUCGGUCCCUAUCUGCCAUGGGCGUUGGAGAUUUGAGAGGGGCUGCUCCUAGUACGAGAGGACCGGAGUGGACGAACCUCUGGUGUUCCGGUUGUCACGCCAGUGGCAUUGCCGGGUAGCUAUGUUCGGAAGCGAUAACCGCUGAAAGCAUCUAAGCGGGAAGCGCGCCUCAAGAUGAGAUCUCCCGGGGCACAAGCCCCCUGAAGGAACCAUGUAGACUACGUGGUUGAUAGGUCAGGUGUGUAAGUACAGCAAUGUAUUGAGCUAACUGAUACUAAUGAUCCGUGCGGCUUGACC
This 2863-nucleotide ribosomal RNA is filed under the name Stenotrophomonas maltophilia. RNAcentral's name for it is "bacterial LSU rRNA". It matches the Rfam family "Bacterial large subunit ribosomal RNA". Lineage: Bacteria; Pseudomonadati; Pseudomonadota; Gammaproteobacteria; Lysobacterales; Lysobacteraceae. The record is from RNAcentral.